GAACAAGAGGCAGUCGCCAUAGGGAGCUGUGGAGGUGUCUCCUUCAGCUUUCCACCCAUAGAGAGUCCCUCUGCACAAGCUGAGUCAACAUCAUGUGAUCAGACAGUUCACCACAGACUAUCAUUUUCAGAUGUUGAACAGAAUGGAUUACUUGCAGAAGCCCCCGCUGAAACCAGUCUUUGGUUGUCGUGCAAGAUACCAUUUCAAAGUAUGUGGUGGCACAAUCCCUGAAAGAUGAAAGCAGAUCCAAACAGCCUGCUUUAGCAGUUCUAUCCCACCUGAGGAAUGCUUCACAUUGGGGCGAUUCUCAGAAGACUGGAUCCAUCAACUUUGACUGCUUUUCACUGUUUGGGCCAGCAUGGGGAUCAGCUUGUGGUUCACAGUUAUACAGAUAUAGGCAAGGAUACAUUGUUCAAUGUAAACAAGAAAGCAAGCACUGAUGAAUAGAUUAAUUGAAAGAAAGAGGACACUGAAUGACAGAGGCCAUAUACCACACUAUUGAUUCUGACAAAUGCUUGAAAAUAUCUUGGUAAGUUUCAUUCAUUGCUACUAACAAGCAGUUAUGCUAAAAGUCACUGGAAAGCCUCAAGAGUUUUACUAGUUCACUAUCCAUGGGUCUAGUUUGAAGGCAAUUAACCCUGCAAUGGAGAAUGACCUGAACUGAACUGAGAGAGAUGUCACCUUGACUUAAUCCAAGCAGACAUCAUCAUUCCCAUUCCCAGCAUCUAAACAGGCAGAGCAGUCUGGAAAUCUGUGUGGAUGGCAGGUUAGUCAGAUCCUUGUAAAAACGCAGAACUCGUGAAUAGUCUUUUUUUGAACUUUAAUUACAUAAAAUGGGAAAUAGUGGUAAUGAAAGAUGCAGACAGCAGGCUUUCUCAGCAUGUGAUAUUCUGCUUUUAUUCAAUAACUACAAACCUGUAGGCUAGUCUGUACAUAUCACUGUCAAUCUGACAAGAAGGGUUGCCAGUAAAGGGGAGGGGAGUUUAGGGGAGCUUUUUGCCUGCAUGUAGCAGUGACUUUCAGAGUCCUAUGUGUACAGCAUCCAGACAGUAUCCUCUUACAGCUAGUGUACAUUCAUAUACUGUACUGAUUUCUUGUAAACACCUCUUGCUGUAAUGGUAGGCAAAGACUUAAGUUUUGCACCAACUCUAAUUGUAGAUAAUGUUUUGCAAUCAUAUAGUGCCUUCCAUCCGAGAAUCUCAAAGCACUUUAGAACACCCCUGUGAAUUAAGUAUUAUACCCAUAUUAUUAAUGCUUACUAUGGUGCUGUAAAGAUUAAUGGUAAUUUGCAAAUCACAGAGAAAGGCAUGCUCCAUGUCCCAAUGAGUUUACAUUUUGAUAAAACAAAACAGAAGGCUGGGUAUGGAAGGAUGAAGAUGGUGCUGAAACCAAAUUAGAAAUAGAUCUGAAUAUUUGUUAAUUAAAAUAUUUUUGAAUUAUUAAAACAAAGUUAAAAGGUAGAUAGACACUUUUUAUUGGCUGCAGUCCAUACAGUU
This is a long non-coding RNA of Mauremys mutica (yellowpond turtle), 1496 nucleotides long. RefSeq lists it as uncharacterized. NCBI's taxonomy places the organism in Eukaryota, Metazoa, Chordata, Testudines, Geoemydidae. The record is from RefSeq and is a predicted model, not a curated record. The transcript is spliced from 4 exons.